GGAAGGUAAAUGGCCUUCUGGGAGCCUUUGGAGUAAUCACCUUCCUGGGUGCCAGGAGGGUGCCAACCUCAGCCAGUCUUGGCACUUCAGGGGGCCAAGGACGUGCUCGCCCGCAUCCAUCUGUCUGCCCUGCACGUCCAUCAGGGACCCCACAUGCCUCCUCCCGGUGACGACCCCCCGCCCACCCCACAAGACAUUCAGAGUGGAUUCGGCUUUCUGGAAGACACUGUGUGUUGUUGAGCAUUAAUUACUGGACACUUGGAAUAAUGUGUUCCGGGAAGUUUCACAGCUAUAUUUAGUCUGGCGGUUUUUCAAGCCAACUGACAUCUCCCUGAGCCUCAAAGGAGAAGAAUUGAGUGUCAGGCCCCAUCCUGGCGCUCGAUCUGCACCCAAGGCCAGCGCCAGCGUCCCGGGGCAGGGCCCUCCUGCUAGAGACCUGGUGUGUACUCGGUUUUCCUGUCUGUGAUGCUCAUGUCAACCUGUUGGUUCCAACUGCAACCCACCAGCGCCCCCAGCAUUCCUGCACCCAGGAGGCCGGUAUCUGAGGCUCUGCAGACUUCCCAGGGCCUCUGUCAGGGGUGCUGUGUGUCCUGUCCCAGGGCCCAGGUCGAGGUCUAACCAUUUUAAAUCUCCAUCUGAACAGCACUCACAGGGGACAGGAGCCCUCAGUAAACUCCUGUCGCAAACGACCCCUGCCAACUUCCUGUAUCUGUAGCCCGGCCCUAAAAAUAGUCUUGGGAUGGGGGCGGGGACUGUGUGAGGCAGGAUUUCACCUUGAGAAGGCACAGUGGGGGAAGACAGGAG
This 804-nucleotide long non-coding RNA is filed under the name Homo sapiens (human). Its description in RNAcentral is "HSALNT0270294". Lineage: Eukaryota; Metazoa; Chordata; Mammalia; Primates; Hominidae. The record is from RNAcentral.